GAUGAACGCUGGCGGCGUGCCUAAUACAUGCAAGUCGAGCGAAUGGAUUAAGAGCUUGCUCUUAUGAAGUUAGCGGCGGACGGGUGAGUAACACGUGGGUAACCUGCCCAUAAGACUGGGAUAACUCCGGGAAACCGGGGCUAAUACCGGAUAAUAUUUUGAACUGCAUGGUUCAAAAUUGAAAGGCGGCUUCGGCUGUCACUUAUGGAUGGACCCGCGUCGCAUUGGCUAGUUGGUGAGGUAACGGCUCACCAAGGCAACGAUGCGUAGCCGGACUGGGAGGGUGAUCGGCCACACUGGGACUGAGACACGGCCCAGACUCCUACGGGAGGCAGCAGUAGGGAAUCUUCCGCAAUGGACGAAAGUCUGACGGAGCAACGCCGCGUGAGUGAUGAAGGCUUUCGGGUCGUAAAACUCUGUUGUUAGGGAAGAACAAGUGCUAGUUGAAUAAGCUGGCACCUUGACGGUACCUAACCAGAAAGCCACGGCUAACUACGUGCCAGCAGCCGCCGUAA
RNAcentral lists this ribosomal RNA (515 nucleotides) under uncultured bacterium. Its description in RNAcentral is "partial 16S ribosomal RNA". It matches the Rfam family "Bacterial small subunit ribosomal RNA", at positions 28 to 523 of the family's 1533-position model. The record is from RNAcentral.